Molecule: long non-coding RNA, 813 nt
Filed under: Marmota monax (woodchuck)
Lineage: Eukaryota; Metazoa; Chordata; Mammalia; Rodentia; Sciuridae
Source: RNAcentral
GGAAGAUGGAAAAUCUAAGAAAAAUUCAAGAAGAAAUAUUGGAAAUUAAAAAAAAAAAAAAAACUAGAACAAAACCCAAAAACACCUUUGGUGGGCACUUUCGUGGCCUGGACUUGACUGAAGAAGGAAUCUAUGAAUUUGAGGUUAUCUUAAUAUUAACUACCAAAAUUGAAAAGCAAAGAGAAAAAAGACUGGGGGAAAAAGCAAAGCAGAAUAUUCAAGAACAGUGGUAUAAUUAUAAAAGUUACAGCAUAUGUGUAGUGGAAUAUAAGAAGGAGAAGAAAAAAAAUGUGGAAAAAAAUACAAUUGAGAAUUUCCCUAAAUUAAUACAAGUUACCAAACCACAAAUUCAAGAAGCUCAGGAACCACAAAAUAGGAUAAAUGCCCAAAACUCUAUAACUAGCCAUAGCAUAUUCAAUCCUCCGGAAAACAAAGGUAGAAAAAGUCUUGAAUGAAGCCACAAGAUGGGGUGGGGAGGAAGCUUCCCUGGAGAGGUGCUAGAGAGAUGAUGCCUAUAGAAAAGAUAAGAAUUGUAUUCAACUUAUCCUCAGAAACCAUGCAAAAAAAAUAGAAUGGAAAGAAAUAUUUAAAGUGUUGAGAAAAAAACCCCUACAAACUAUAAUAAUUCUGUAUCCUGCAAAAGUAUCCUUCAAACGUGAAAAGAAAUAAUUUCUCAAACAAAAAUUGAGUUUGUGAACAGUGGGCCUGCUCAGCAAGAAAUUUUCUGAAGUUCUUCAGAGAGAAGGAAAAUAAUGUGUUGGAAACUAAAACUUAAAUAAAGAAGAGAAGAACAACAGAGAGUAAAUGUAAAAC